This 466-nucleotide ribosomal RNA is filed under the name uncultured bacterium. RNAcentral's name for it is "partial 16S ribosomal RNA". It matches the Rfam family "Bacterial small subunit ribosomal RNA", at positions 28 to 507 of the family's 1533-position model. The record is from RNAcentral.
GACGAACGCUGGCGGCGCGCCUAACGCAUGCAAGUCGAACGAGCGAGAGAGAGCUUGCUUUCUUGAGCGAGUGGCGAACGGGUGAGUAACGCGUGAGGAACCUGCCUCAAAGAGGGGGACAACAGUUGGAAACGACUGCUAAUACCGCAUAAGCCCACGGUGCCGCAUGGCACAGAGGGAAAAGGAGCAAUCCGCUUUGAGAUGGCCUCGCGUCCGAUUAGCUAGUUGGUGAGGUAACGGCCCACCAAGGCGACGAUCGGUAGCCGGACUGAGAGGUUGAACGGCCACAUUGGGACUGAGACACGGCCCAGACUCCUACGGGAGGCAGCAGUGGGGAAUAUUGCACAAUGGGGGAAACCCUGAUGCAGCGACGCCGCGUGGAGGAAGAAGGUCUUCGGAUUGUAAACUCCUGUUGUUGGGGAAGAUAAUGACGGUACCCAACAAGGAAGUGACGGCUAACUACGUG